Molecule: ribosomal RNA, 256 nt
Filed under: uncultured bacterium
Lineage: Bacteria
Description: partial 16S ribosomal RNA
Rfam family: Bacterial small subunit ribosomal RNA
Source: RNAcentral
CGGACGGGUGAGUAACGCGUGGGUAACCUGCCUCAUAGAGGGGGACAACAGUUGGAAACGACUGCUAAUACCGCAUAGUAAGAAAGAUUCGCAUGUUUCUUUCUUGAAAGAUUUAUCGCUAUGAGAUGGACCCGCGUCUGAUUAGCUAGUUGGUAAGGUAACGGCUUACCAAGGCGACGAUCAGUGGCCGGCUUGAGAGAGUGAACGGCCACAUUGGGACUGAGACACGGCCCAGACUCCUACGGGAGGCAGCAUG